AUACGUAGGGGGUGAGCGUUGUCCGGAAUGAUUGGGCGUAAAGGGCGCGUAGGCGGCCCGGUAAGUCUGGAGUGAAAGUCCUGUUUUUAAGAUGGGAAUUGCUUUGGAUACUGUCGGGCUUGAGUGCAGGAGAGGUAAGUGGAAUUCCCAGUGUAGCGGUGAAAUGCGUAGAGAUUGGGAGGAACACCAGUGGCGAAGGCGACUUACUGGACUGUAACUGACGCUGAGGCGCGAAAGUGUGGGGAGCAAACAGGAUUAGAUACCCUGGUAGUCCACACUGUAAACGAUGAAUGCUAGGUGUAGGGGGUAUCGACCCCUUCUGUGCCGCAGUCAACACAAUAAGCAUUCCGCCUGGGGAGUACGGCCGCGAGGUUGAAACUCAAAGGAAUUGACGGGG
RNAcentral lists this ribosomal RNA (397 nucleotides) under uncultured bacterium. RNAcentral describes it as "partial 16S ribosomal RNA". It matches the Rfam family "Bacterial small subunit ribosomal RNA", at positions 523 to 918 of the family's 1533-position model. The record is from RNAcentral.